This 405-nucleotide ribosomal RNA is filed under the name uncultured bacterium. Its description in RNAcentral is "partial 16S ribosomal RNA". It matches the Rfam family "Bacterial small subunit ribosomal RNA", at positions 30 to 526 of the family's 1533-position model. The record is from RNAcentral.
AUUGAACGCUGGCGGCAGGCCUAACACAUGCAAGUCGAACGCGUGGCGGACGUGUGAGUAAUGCUUGGGACUCUGGCUUAUGGAGGGGUAUAACGACGGGAAACUGUCUCUAAUACCGCGUACCCUAGGAUGCGCCCAAGUGGGUUUAGGUAGUUGGUGGGGUAAUGGCCUACCAAGCCGGCGCUCUCUAGCUGGUCUGAGAGGAUGACCAGCCACACCGGGACUGAGACACGGCCCGGACUCCUACGGGAGGCAGCAGUGGGGAAUAUGGCGCAAUGGGGGCAACCUGACGCAGCCAUGCCGCGUGAAUGAAGAAGGCCUUCGGGUUGUAAAGUUCUUUCGGUGAGGAGGCGUUAAUCACAGAAGAAGCACCGGCUAACUCCGUGCCAGCAGCCGCGGUAAUUC